GACGAACGCUGGCGGCGUGCUUAACACAUGCAAGUCGAACGGAAAGGCCCUGCUUUUGUGGGGUGCUCGAGUGGCGAACGGGUGCGUAACACGUGAGUAACCUGCCCUUGACUUUGGGAUAACUUCAGGAAACUGGGGCUAAUACCGGAUAGGAGCUCCUGCUGCAUGGUGGGGGUUGGAAAGUUUCGGCGGUUGGGGAUGGACUCGCGGCUUAUCAGCUUGUUGGUGGGGUAGUGGCUUACCAAGGCUUUGACGGGUAGCCGGCCUGAGAGGGUGACCGGCCACAUUGGGACUGAGAGACGGCCCAGACGCCUACGGGAGGCAGCAGUGGGGAAUAUUGCACAAUGGGCGGAAGCCUGAUGCAGCAACGCCGCGUGCGGGAUGACGGCCUUCGGGUUGUAAACCGCUUUCGCCUGUGACGAAGCGUGAGUGACGGUAAUGGGUAAAGAAGCACCGGCUAACUACGUG
This 468-nucleotide ribosomal RNA is filed under the name uncultured bacterium. Its description in RNAcentral is "partial 16S ribosomal RNA". It matches the Rfam family "Bacterial small subunit ribosomal RNA", at positions 28 to 507 of the family's 1533-position model. The record is from RNAcentral.